UACGGGGGGGGCAAGCGUUGUUCGGAAUUACUGGGCGUAAAGGGCUCGUAGGCGGCCAACUAAGUCGGAUGUGAAAUCCCCAGGCUUAACCUGGGAACUGCAUCCGAUACUGGAUGGCUUGAAUCCGGGAGAGGGAUGCAGAAUUCCAGGUGUAGCGGUGAAAUGCGUAGAUAUCUGGAGGAAUACCGGUGGCGAAGGCGGCAUCCUGGACCGGCAUUGGACGCUGAU
Molecule: ribosomal RNA, 228 nt
Filed under: uncultured bacterium
Lineage: Bacteria
Description: partial 16S ribosomal RNA
Rfam family: Bacterial small subunit ribosomal RNA
Source: RNAcentral